CUACAGGAUGCUGCAGUGAGGAAUAUUGCACAAUGGGGGGAACCCUGAUGCAGCAACGCCGCGUGGAGGAUGACGCAUUUCGGUGUGUAAACUCCUUUUAUAUGUCAAGAAAAUGACGGUAGCAUAUGAAUAAGCACCGGCUAACUCCGUGCACAGCAGCCGCGGUAAUACGGAGGGUGCAAGCGUUACUCGGAAUCACUGGGCGUAAAGGACGCGUAGGCGGGUUGGAAAGUCAGGUGUGAAAUCCUACAGCUUAACUGUAGAACUGCACUUGAAACUUCUAAUCUAGAGUAUGGGAGGGGGAGAUGGAAUUAGUGGUGUAGGGGUAAAAUCCGUAGAUAUCACUAGGAAUACCUAAAGCGAAGGCGAUCUCCUGGAACAUUACUGACGCUAAGGCGUGAAAGCGUGGGGAGCAAACAGGAUUAGAUACCCCCGUAGUC
RNAcentral lists this ribosomal RNA (440 nucleotides) under uncultured bacterium. RNAcentral describes it as "partial 16S ribosomal RNA". It matches the Rfam family "Bacterial small subunit ribosomal RNA", at positions 339 to 795 of the family's 1533-position model. The record is from RNAcentral.